Molecule: non-coding RNA, 24 nt
Filed under: Arabidopsis thaliana (thale cress)
Lineage: Eukaryota; Viridiplantae; Streptophyta; Magnoliopsida; Brassicales; Brassicaceae
Source: RNAcentral
AUGGGUCAACUCAACUCAAUUCAA